AGGCUUUAUAGUGGAAAUUUUUAAGACAUUAGGCUGCAAAUCUAAAGAUGUAUAUAAUACUAAAGCUUA
This 69-nucleotide transfer RNA is filed under the name Laomedia astacina. RNAcentral's name for it is "tRNA-Cys". It matches the Rfam family "tRNA". Rfam says of the family: Transfer RNA (tRNA) molecules are approximately 80 nucleotides in length. Their secondary structure includes four short double-helical elements and three loops (D, anti-codon, and T loops). Further hydrogen bonds mediate the characteristic L-shaped molecular structure. tRNAs have two regions of fundamental functional importance: the anti-codon, which is responsible for specific mRNA codon recognition, and the 3' end, to which the tRNAs corresponding amino acid is attached (by aminoacyl-tRNA synthetases). tRNAs cope with the degeneracy of the genetic code in two manners: having more than one tRNA (with a specific anti-codon) for a particular amino acid; and 'wobble' base-pairing, i.e. permitting non-standard base-pairing at the 3rd anti-codon position. Lineage: Eukaryota; Metazoa; Arthropoda; Malacostraca; Decapoda; Laomediidae. The record is from RNAcentral.